This is a long non-coding RNA of Neopsephotus bourkii (Bourke's parrot), 3418 nucleotides long. RefSeq lists it as uncharacterized. The transcript has 3 exons. NCBI's taxonomy places the organism in Eukaryota, Metazoa, Chordata, Aves, Psittaciformes, Psittacidae. The record is from RefSeq and is a predicted model, not a curated record.
CUAUAUGCCAUGGCACAUGAGAGCCAGACCAGUCCCAAGAUGAAGAUGGUGCAGAAAGGAGCCGCAGGCACUUUUCGACACAAAAGGUUGGGGCUCUGUGCCCGUUUCUGUCCAAAGAAGAUUUGUGACUACUUCAUAAGUAGGUUUGCACUAGAACACACUUUGUACUACAACUCUGCCCAGUAUUGUGAUCCGCAACUAGUUCAUUCCGGAGAUAAGAAUAUCCUCAGGCAAUAAACGAGAUGGGGUUAUUUCUUAAAGAGCCCAAGGCUCUGGCAGCAGGCUUGAACUCAGCGUUGUUUACAAUUACAUGGAAAUCUGCGGGCUAAUGGAGAGGUGGGUGCCUCCUCCUGCCCGCAGGGUGCUCCCAGCAGCCUCUUGCACUCCAUGGCCAAUAUCUCGCAUUUUUCCCAUUGAAUUUUCCCAACUAAACUCCCUCUGCAAGUUUUAGCAUUGUGAUAGCCCAGCUUAUUUGUCUGCUGCAGGGUCUGGAGUGAAAGCACCAGUGCUGUAAAAUGUGCUCAGCCCUUUCAGAGGCUCUGGUUUUCCAGUGUCACAUAGGCACCAUAUCAGGCUUUUUAGGCCAGAGGCAGGUUUCCAAGGAGACAGUGUUACUGGCCACAUUUCUCCUUUGCAGCAGCACCAGCAGCAGAGAAAGAAGUAGGUGUUAAAGUACCAGAAUUAAAUGAGUUUCAUGAAGACAGAAAGAUGCAGCAGAGACUCAUUUUACUGUGGAGGAUGCUAUGAGGUCAGCUUGCUCUGCACUGCAGGUGGGAAGGAGAGGGAAGGAGAGAUGUUGUUUGUUGGCAUAGUUUGAAAAUUGUUACCCAGGUGUUUUAAACCCAGCUCACAGUGAGAUGCAAUCUGACAAUUACUUAAGUAGAUACAUACAUAUAAAUAUAUAGAUAUUAUAUUCCGAUAUUUGUUGUGGUUCCCAGGGUGGGAGAGUCAGUGUGGUCUCACAUCACCACCUUUUUGUGCAACUUACGCCUGUAAAGCACUGCCAUAGCAACUUCUGUGUACUGGGCAGCUAUUUGAGUACAAGCUAUGCAUCCGGAGAGCUAUUUGAGUACCAGCUAUGCAUCCACCUCUGCAACCAAGGAACCGCGUUGCGAGGUCUGUAACGUAGCUGGCCUGUGACCUGGCAGGAGGGUGCUGUUUCCCAGCAGCAGCUGAAAAGCAAACACUCACAGACCCAUUUACUUCUGCAAGUGUAGCUGGUAAACAACCAGCAGCCCAUCACAUUUGUUGCCAUCGCUUCACCUUGGUGAUAAUCGGACUUGCCACAGCAGUCAUCCUGCUAGGAGAGGCACAGACAUGCACAAAUACUUUGAGUGCAUCAGCCUGUUGGAUGUUGGCAGGGUGGUCCCGUGGUUUUUGUGUGUAUUAACAGGCAUUACUGGCUUUGGAAUUGCAAUCCUAAGAGCCUCUGCCUCAGGCGUGGCAAGGAAGACUCACACGAGUAAAUGCCAUCAGCAUCAAUAGGAAUAACAUGGGUAAGGUACCCUUUUACCGGCACAGCACAUCACAGCCCCUGCAUCACUUGCAGACAAAGUAUUUUGGAUCCAUACUGUACUCAACCCCAAGAUUUGCUGUGUGCUUCCCAGAGGAUACAAAGUACCUCUUGGCUGGAGAGGUUUUACACUGGCCUAAACUGCUCUGUACAGUGCAAGAGAGUGGUUGUUGCAGACUUGCAUGUGUUUCAGGGCAAAUCCUCUAGCUACAUUUGUUAUUAGUGCUCCCCAAAACAGAGGCUUUCCCAAGCUUACAUGCUACCUCUGUUAUUUGGCACGGAUUUUGGUCAUACUUACAGAAAAACAAGGACAACUACUUGGGACAAGCCUAUGCAUUGUAGUAUUUGUUUAAACAGGAACACUAAUAAAUCUAAAGACCUACUUCCUUGAACUCAGUGGGUAAUACUUCUUUGUAUAGCAGGGAGCCUGGCAUGCUUAACGCUCAGGGUUUGAGACUUAGAACGCAAGAUUUACAUCCUAUCGCUCAUAUGAUUAUUACCAAUGAUUGUAAGUAAUGGAAGCGAGGGGAACAAUAAGUGAAAAACCAGUUCUGCAAGUUUUAGCACUGACUUGAGUCCAACAGUUUUCUCAGUUUAGAAAGAGAAAAAAAGGCAUCGUUGCCUUAAGGAUGCUGGUUUACACCCAGGAUCCUCUUGUUCCACUGAAAGGCUAUUUUCUUUUUUGUGCACACGAAAGAAAAGUAAUUACUUUCUAUUCUCCUGUGGUGCAGUAGAGGAGUAGUGUUUGCUGUUGCCUUUGACCAACAAGAAGGUUUGUCUAUUGUAACCAAAAUGGCUCUGCCUCCAGGGUACAGAAAGAGAAGCCUACGAGGCCAGGGAGCAACUCCUCUCCCUGCCUUACCCUAUAUAAACUGUCAUUAGCUCCACUGGAGCUGUUGGUAGUGUGAGCAUUUCCUCCAGCUGAGGAUCUGCCCACCAGUGUACUCGUUCUGUACAGGGAGUCCAACGGAGCUGCCAUAUUCUGCACUGCACAAGUACCCCGGUCCGUUUCUAUGGGAAACAGUUCAUGCUACUGAAUAUCACAAUGCUUCAGAAGUGCUAAUUAUCUUUUCUUGGUAAUGACUAAUAAAUCCAAAUGGAGAACAGUCCUGGAGGGUGUUUACUUUAAAAUUCACUGGCUGGGUACCAAAGUAGGCACAGCACUGACUGCUGCAGUUAGAAUUACAGUUAUUUUAUCCCCCAAAAAUGUUCCAUUUUUGGAGAGUUUUGGUGAAGACAGACUUUGGCUAGUUUAUAUUUCACUUUAAUGACAGUAGAGUGGGAAACGGCUCUUUUUAGUGAAAAGACACCACUGCUAUGAUCUUUUUUCAGCCAGACCAACAGAGAUUUGAUAGUUACAGUUCAGCCUAGGAGAGCAAGGCUUGCCAGAGCCACCGCGCUGCAGCGGUAACUGCCUCUGACCGAAUUGUAUUACAGGCAUAUUUGACAGUUGUGCAAGGAGCAUGUGCAGCUGAGAUGAUGCUUCUCUGUGUGGCUAAGGAGAGCUGCUUUAUGCCCAAAGGGACAACUGCAGUGCCCGUCUGGGUACCCACCAGCAUCCCCUCACUCGAGCUGGCUUAACCAGCCCCUGCCUGUUCCUAGGCCUGACUCCGGGUGAUGGUCUCCCUGCUGUGAAGCUGUGGUUCAGUGCUAAAGGUUAUCAGUGUAUGGCCAGCUAGAGAGCUGUUCUGUUAGAAGUGAGAAGCUGAAACACCCAUUGGUUUGGUGAUGUUGGCAGGAGGAAGAAUCACUGACCCAGCAGCUGCCAGGAUGAUGGUUCCUCCAACUUUGCCUUCCAUGACCUGGCUUACGCCUUCAGCUCCAGCAAACCAAGGCAGGUUCCCAAGGCACUGGAUGCUAAAAGGUCCAGCUCAUUUCAUAGAAUCAUAGAAUACCAGUCUGGAG